UACAGAGGUCCCAAGCGUUGUUCGGAUUCACUGGGCGUAAAGGGUGCGUAGGCGGUCGGGUAAGUCUGAUGUGAAAUCUCACAGCUUAACUGUGAAACUGCAUUGGAUACUAUCCGGCUCGAGGAAUGGAGGGGAGACUGGAACAAACGGUGGAGCGGUGAAAUGCGUAGAUAUCGUUUGGAACGCCAAUGGUGAAAACAGGUUGCUGGGAGUGUGCUGACGCUGAGACACGAAAGCCAGGGGAGCGAACGGG
This 253-nucleotide ribosomal RNA is filed under the name uncultured bacterium. RNAcentral's name for it is "partial 16S ribosomal RNA". It matches the Rfam family "Bacterial small subunit ribosomal RNA", at positions 524 to 776 of the family's 1533-position model. The record is from RNAcentral.